Molecule: transfer RNA, 77 nt
Filed under: Fidelibacterota bacterium
Lineage: Bacteria; Pseudomonadati; Fidelibacterota
Description: tRNA-His
Rfam family: tRNA
About the family: Transfer RNA (tRNA) molecules are approximately 80 nucleotides in length. Their secondary structure includes four short double-helical elements and three loops (D, anti-codon, and T loops). Further hydrogen bonds mediate the characteristic L-shaped molecular structure. tRNAs have two regions of fundamental functional importance: the anti-codon, which is responsible for specific mRNA codon recognition, and the 3' end, to which the tRNAs corresponding amino acid is attached (by aminoacyl-tRNA synthetases). tRNAs cope with the degeneracy of the genetic code in two manners: having more than one tRNA (with a specific anti-codon) for a particular amino acid; and 'wobble' base-pairing, i.e. permitting non-standard base-pairing at the 3rd anti-codon position.
Source: RNAcentral
GUGGCUGUAGUUCAGCUGGUUAGAGCACCGGAUUGUGAUUCCGGUUGUCGUGGGUUCGAAUCCCAUCAGCCACCCCA